This 225-nucleotide unclassified non-coding RNA is filed under the name fungal sp. RNAcentral describes it as "partial internal transcribed spacer region". The stretch from base 1 to 46 matches the Rfam family "Eukaryotic small subunit ribosomal RNA", at positions 1786 to 1831 of the family's 1831-position model. Lineage: Eukaryota; Fungi. The record is from RNAcentral.
AAGUCGUAACAAGGUUUCCGUAGGUGAACCUGCGGAAGGAUCAUUAACAAAUCCAUAAAUGUGUGAGUGUUUUGCUCACAUAAUUUUAACCGGAUCUCCGAGAGGAGAUUCGACUGUAGAAGAACUGUGUGAACUAUUCUCUACAGAAAUAGGCUAUGAUGUUAUGUCUUAUAAAAUUAUAAAAAUAAUUAUAAAUAACUUUUAACAAUGGAUCUCUUGGCUCUU